This 321-nucleotide unclassified non-coding RNA is filed under the name Hevea brasiliensis (rubber tree). Lineage: Eukaryota; Viridiplantae; Streptophyta; Magnoliopsida; Malpighiales; Euphorbiaceae. The record is from RNAcentral.
UUGAGAAUUUUUAUUGAAUCUUACUAUUAGAUUCGAUUCUCGAUUCAAUAACUACGGUAACAUAGUUCACAGUAGCAGUCGCUGAUUUGGUUUGAUUCUGUUACUCAAAACACCGAAUCCUAGUGAUUAUUGGUCUUUAACAUUGUUAUAUGAUUGAGAUAUUGUUUGAGCAUUAUUUUAAUUUCUCUUCAAUUGAUUUGCUUGUGUUUCUUCUUGGUUACUCUUGACCACUGGAUGCUAGUGUUGUUGAGUUAUUACAUGAUAUAAAUAUUUAUUCUUGAAAACAUUAUUUUUUUUUUUACCUUGCAUUAUUCUGCAGGU